RNAcentral lists this ribosomal RNA (253 nucleotides) under uncultured bacterium. RNAcentral's name for it is "partial 16S ribosomal RNA". It matches the Rfam family "Bacterial small subunit ribosomal RNA", at positions 524 to 776 of the family's 1533-position model. The record is from RNAcentral.
UACGUAGGGGGCAAGCGUUGUCCGGAUUUAUUGGGCGUAAAGCGCGUGUAGGCGGCUGGGUAGGUCCGCUGUGAAAACUCGAGGCUCAACCUCGAGAGGUCGGUGGAAACCAUCCAGCUAGAGUCCGGAAGAGGAGAAUGGAAUUCCUGGUGUAGCGGUGAAAUGCGCAGAUAUCAGGAGGAACACCGGUGGCGAAGGCGGGUCUCUGGGCCGAUACUGACGCUGAGGAGCGAAAGCGUGGGGAGCGAACAGG